Molecule: long non-coding RNA, 638 nt
Organism: Panicum virgatum (switchgrass)
Lineage: Eukaryota; Viridiplantae; Streptophyta; Magnoliopsida; Poales; Poaceae
Exons: 2
Source: RefSeq, a predicted model, not a curated record
UACACUAUGAAUUUUGUUAUUCAUAUUUACUCAAUGUAAAUACUGUUAGAUGUUCCGUGGUGGCGGUCGUGGUAGGGGUCGUGGCGUGGUCGUUCGCUUAUGGACGAUGUUGAUGCUCAGCACCCAGGCAUACACUUCCAUCAAGAGGUUGGCUUGCCACUGGGUGAUCCAACGCGCGGAUCAAUUCCUAAUGUUCUUAUCAACCUUGUUACAUGGCUUCAAGAUGUUGUCGAAGGUUUGGGUGGUACUACUUUUGUGUCUCGACAAGAGCUUGUUCGGUUUGACUUGGAUGGGUGGAUAGCCACAUUUUAUAAGAAGUUGCAAGUUUCAAGCAAAGCUCUCCUUCUGCAGGGCAAGUCAGUCGAACACUCCAUUGUUUGACAUUUGUAGUUCUGUCUGUGGCAAUGAAUGGGAAGCGGAGGAGAGUGCACUUGUUCGUGCACUAGAAUAUUUUGACGAAGUUCUAGGGUGGAUGAUUGGAGACCGCAACUAUCUUAUCUAUCUACGGAUGCAAGCAAUACAGUAGCUACAAAUUUGUAAUAUGCAUGGAUGUAUAGCUACUAUUGUCAUUGAACAGCUUGUAUUGCUACUCCUUUAUCUUCUGAGAUUUUAUUUGAUUGCAUUGUUAUUUGAGUGUU